GGUUGUGGCUCAGUGAUAGAGCACUUGCCUAGCAUGCGUGAGGCACUGGGUUUGAUCCCCAGUACCA
RNAcentral lists this transfer RNA (67 nucleotides) under Marmota marmota marmota (Alpine marmot). It matches the Rfam family "tRNA". From Rfam's summary of the family: Transfer RNA (tRNA) molecules are approximately 80 nucleotides in length. Their secondary structure includes four short double-helical elements and three loops (D, anti-codon, and T loops). Further hydrogen bonds mediate the characteristic L-shaped molecular structure. tRNAs have two regions of fundamental functional importance: the anti-codon, which is responsible for specific mRNA codon recognition, and the 3' end, to which the tRNAs corresponding amino acid is attached (by aminoacyl-tRNA synthetases). tRNAs cope with the degeneracy of the genetic code in two manners: having more than one tRNA (with a specific anti-codon) for a particular amino acid; and 'wobble' base-pairing, i.e. permitting non-standard base-pairing at the 3rd anti-codon position. RNAcentral also lists the same sequence under 2 other names. Lineage: Eukaryota; Metazoa; Chordata; Mammalia; Rodentia; Sciuridae. The record is from Rfam by way of RNAcentral.